GCCCUGGUGGCACAAUGGUUAAGUGCUUGGCUGCUAACCAAAAGGUUGAUGGUUCGAACCCACCCAGCAGCU
This is a transfer RNA of Loxodonta africana (African savanna elephant), 72 nucleotides long. It matches the Rfam family "tRNA". From Rfam's summary of the family: Transfer RNA (tRNA) molecules are approximately 80 nucleotides in length. Their secondary structure includes four short double-helical elements and three loops (D, anti-codon, and T loops). NCBI's taxonomy places the organism in Eukaryota, Metazoa, Chordata, Mammalia, Proboscidea, Elephantidae. The record is from Rfam.